Molecule: ribosomal RNA, 497 nt
Filed under: uncultured bacterium
Lineage: Bacteria
Description: partial 16S ribosomal RNA
Rfam family: Bacterial small subunit ribosomal RNA
Source: RNAcentral
GACGAACGCUGGCGGCGUGCCUAAUACAUGCAAGUUGAGCGCUGAAGGUUGGUACUUGUACCAACUGGAUGAGCAGCGAACGGGUGAGUAACGCGUGGGGAAUCUGCCUUUGAGCGGGGGACAACAUUUGGAAACGAAUGCUAAUACCGCAUAAAAACUUUAAACACAAGUUUUAAGUUUGAAAGAUGCAAUUGCAUCACUCAAAGAUGAUCCCGCGUUGUAUUAGCUAGUUGGUGAGGUAAAGGCUCACCAAGGCGAUGAUACAUAGCCGACCUGAGAGGGUGAUCGGCCACAGUGGGACUGAGACACGGCCCAAACUCCUACGGGAGGCAGCAGUAGGGAAUCUUCGGCAAUGGACGAAAGUCUGACCGAGCAACGCCGCGUGAGUGAAGAAGGGUUUCGGAUAGUAAAACUCUGUUGGUAGAGAAGAACGUUGGUGAGAGUGGAAAGCUCAUCAAGUGACGGUAACUACCCAGAAAGGGACGGCUAACUACGUG